Molecule: ribosomal RNA, 395 nt
Filed under: uncultured bacterium
Lineage: Bacteria
Description: bacterial SSU rRNA
Rfam family: Bacterial small subunit ribosomal RNA
Source: RNAcentral
GUGUCAGCCGCCGCGGUAAUACGUAGGGCGCAAGCGUUACUCGGAAUCACUGGGCAUAAAGGGCGUGUAGGCGGAGACGUAAGUCCGGUGUAAAAUCCCCCGGCUCAACCGGGGAAUGCCAUUGGAUACUGCGUCUCUUGAGUGCGGGAGGGGAGAGUGGAACUCUUGGUGGAGCGGUGAAAUGCGUAGAUAUCAAGAGGAACGCCGGUGGCGAAAGCGACUCUCUGGCCCGUUACUGACGCUGAGGCGCGAAAGCUAGGGGAGCAAACGGGAUUAGAUACCCCGGUAGUCCUAGCCCUAAACGAUGAGUACUAAGUAGGGGCGACUCCGAUGUUGUCUCUGCUGUAGCAAAUGUGCUAAGUACUCCGCCUGGGGAGUACGGUCGCAAGGCUGAA